AAAUAAACGAACAACUCAGAAAUAAACGAACAACUCAAAAAUAAACCAUCAACGCAGAAAUAAACAAUCAACUCAGAGUUAAACGAUCAACUCAGGAAUAAACGAUCAACUCAGAAAUAAACGAUCAACUCAGAAAUAUACACGAACUCAGAAAUAAACGAACAACUCAGAAAUAAACGAAGAACUCAGAAAUAAACGAACAACAUCCCCAGGGUGUCGAGCAGCAGUACGCGCCCACCAUGUACCAUACAUUACAGAAGUGCAGACGACAUAAUGUUUACCGCGGCAUUCAAAAUGGCGGACACCUUGAACCGCUUCACGCGAUGAACACGUAGAAAAAACGGAGGGUAAAAACGUAGUGUUUUUUCGUCGACGACCUCCGAAGCCAGAAAGAAGUCUAUGCGAAAGGACGAUUCUAGUAACAUGGAAGGGAAGCCUGUGAUGAAACAAGAUCCUUCCGAGAAGUAAUCAUGAAGCGGAAAGUACAACUUUAAUAUGCCUCAUUUUCUCAUUGGAGCAGACCAUUGCAGCCUCAUCAGCUGGUUGAGUCUGUUGCAGUAGCAUGCGCGACCGUUCAACGGUAAAUGGGAAAACAGUGACAUUUUCUUGGAGAGAAGAUACCCCUAACCUACAGGAAGCGUUCAAAAAGUGCGCUGCUUUGCUACAAUAUUUGGCCCUCACUAAAUGAAGUACAUGUAGGCCUAGUUUUUUUUUCUGUGUAGCCUACAUGUACAUGUACAUGUAGGCCCUACUUAAGUCUUUGUUGUCACUCUAAGUCUAAUCCAUGUGACAUUUGCAGUUCUACAUGUACAUGUAAAUUGUAACUGUACAACUUCUGCACACAGAAACUAAAAGAGGUGCUACAUUUUUUUCUGCAGAUAUUUGUAAAAAUUAUUAAAUUUAAAUAGAUACAUGCAGUGCUAGAUACAUGUAAAGUAGCGGCCAAACUCAGAUUUCUUCUUUUUGCCUAGUGAGGGCACUGUACCAGAAAGAUGGUAACCAAGCUCUCCUUAGCAACAUAGAUUUAGCGUUGUAGAGUUUGCAACUUGUGUAUUAAAUUCUUCGCCCAAAGCAAUAAUCGCUGAGGUUUAUUAAACGGUUGGUACAGCAGUUUACUGUUAAACAAUUUCUAUAAAUUAUGUAGUGAUAAGUGUGAUAUUUAGUACCGUUUUAUAGCCUAUAAGUUGCAUUUUCAACGCAUUUGUUGGUUGCAUAGUCACGGUAUUGUGGAACCUGUUAAAAGCACAUGUACUGCAGGUCGAGAUUUAUACAGGGUGUACCUAAACCCUUCUUGCAUUUAGACAUCAGUAUUCUUUUAAUGUGGAGUAGCUAGUAUAAAUGCAAAUUGUUGGACUGACACUGGAUUUAGGUCAUAGUUGAUACACUCACUCCAUGUACAUGUACAUUGUAGGGGCCUACAUGUGUAUUUACAUAAACAUUGCUUUGGACAUGUGUGUGCAUGUGUUUGGAACAUGUAAGUGAUAUGUAAUGAGCUAAUUCUGUUACAAUAAGGUUACACAAAUACACAUGUACUGGGUAAUUUCUUGUAACAAAUACAUACAUUUUAUUUUCUAUUUUAUUGUAGUCAAUCUGUGCCUGACAUGUACCACUACAAAACUGUAUUAGCAGAAGUUGUACUACACAGUAAAGUUUCUGGAUCUGCA
Patiria miniata (bat star) is the source of this 1664-nucleotide long non-coding RNA. RefSeq lists it as uncharacterized. Lineage: Eukaryota; Metazoa; Echinodermata; Asteroidea; Valvatida; Asterinidae. The transcript is spliced from 2 exons. The record is from RefSeq and is a predicted model, not a curated record.